This 517-nucleotide ribosomal RNA is filed under the name uncultured bacterium. Its description in RNAcentral is "bacterial SSU rRNA". It matches the Rfam family "Bacterial small subunit ribosomal RNA", at positions 992 to 1509 of the family's 1533-position model. The record is from RNAcentral.
AGAAUUUAGCAGAGAUGCUUUAGUGCCUUCGGGAACUCUGAGACAGGUGCUGCAUGGCUGUCGUCAGCUCGUGUUGUGAAAUGUUGGGUUAAGUCCCGCAACGAGCGCAACCCUUAUCCUUGUUGCCAGCACGUAAUGGUGGGAACUCAAAGGAGACUGCCGGUGAUAAACCGGAGGAAGGUGGGGAUGACGUCAAGUCAUCAUGGCCCUUACGAGUAGGGCUACACACGUGCUACAAUGGCGCAUACAAAGAGAAGCGACCUCGCGAGAGCAAGCGGACCUCAUAAAGUGCGUCGUAGUCCGGAUUGGAGUCUGCAACUCGACUCCAUGAAGUCGGAAUCGCUAGUAAUCGUAAAUCAGAAUGUUACGGUGAAUACGUUCCCGGGCCUUGUACACACCGCCCGUCACACCAUGGGAGUGGGUUGCAAAAGAAGUAGAUAGCUUAACCUUCGGGAGGGCGUUUACCACUUUGUGAUUCAUGACUGGGGUGAAGUCGUAACAAGGUAAGCGUAGUGCU